AUGACUUAAUUUUAUUUGAUUUGAAAUCAAAAUUUAGGAUAGAAUCCUUAAGUCUUU
This 57-nucleotide transfer RNA is filed under the name Tubulipora flabellaris. RNAcentral's name for it is "tRNA-Ser". Lineage: Eukaryota; Metazoa; Bryozoa; Stenolaemata; Tubuliporida; Tubuliporidae. The record is from RNAcentral.